AUAUUACUCUCUCCGUUCGGAAUUACUUGUCUCGGAAAUAGAUGUAUUUAGAACUAAAUAGUUCUAGUUACAUCUAUUUCCGAAACAAAUAAUUCCGAACGGAGGGAGUACCAC
Molecule: non-coding RNA, 114 nt
Organism: Triticum aestivum (bread wheat)
Lineage: Eukaryota; Viridiplantae; Streptophyta; Magnoliopsida; Poales; Poaceae
Source: Rfam